CUCCUUUGGAGAAUAAGUUUGGGCAUGUUUCCGCCAAAGGCAGGAGGGAGACCCAACCCCAAACGACCCCUCACUUGGCGAGAAAUGGGACAGCCAUCCGUCUGCCUGGACGCUGCUCAGAGCUGGUGUCCAGGAGGACCUUGCCUUCCAGGUCACACUCUUCUCGUGCGUCCCUCAUUUACUGGGUCAGAGGACUGCCCGACCUGCACACCUGCCUCCGGAGGCUGAGGGAUGUGACGCCGACCAGGUCCCAUCUGUGUCCAUCCUCGCGUGUAACUCCCCAAGGACAUCAGUCCCACCCAUCCCCGUCCUGCUGUCGUGUACGGCAUCGCUCUCCGUUGACAAGGUGGAGAUGUGGUCAGAGGGACGCUUGCGUCCUGGAACAGGCAUCUGGGGCAGGGUCCGCGGCUGCCUGGCCCGGAAGUGUGGGCAGGGUGCCCGGGACUGGAGGUGGGGAGACCCGCGGUCAGGGUCCAGCCGCCGCACCUGGAGCCCCUCCGUGGGCAUCACCGGGCGGCCCGGGGCUCCGCGUCUGCGUGUCGGGACAGCGCCGAGCUUUGGUCUUUAUUUGGCCGUCCGCCCAGGGUCCUCGCAGAGCACCUUACCCUCACGGCUCACCCUAACUUCCUGGUGUGGGGCGCGUGUGCCUUGAUGCCUGGACGCGGCCCCACGCAGCGGAGAUGCCUGCACCCCUCGCUGCACGUCUCCUUUCACCUGGACGGCCUCCUGCAGCAGGAAUCUCUGUCCCGGCCUCGGCGAUCCUGAAGGCGACUCAGCACAGAGCAGCCCGUGGGCCGAGCAGCCCUCGCUCACUUGGAGCAAAGGUCCCCUCACAGCCCGCGGUCCCCACCCCCGGCCUCCCGCGGCCCAGACACGCGCACACCCGCCCACAGACCCCUCGCCAGAUCCCCUCCUUCAUGGGGCCGGUAUGUUCUCCAAAAGAAGCAGUUCUGGCCGGAACUUUCUGACACUAGGGCUAUACCCCCGGGUCACAGGUACUGAAAGUAACCCGUAUCUUGGCGCAACAAGCGUGGUCCGAACAGAGCUGGGAAGAGGAUCGGGUGUGACUUAGGAGGGACACCCCCUCUCCAGGGGUCAAGGUACCCCAGGACAUCACCUGAAAGGGUGUGACGGUGCCCCGCUGGGCACCGGUGGUGGUGGCCGGUGUUCUCGGGGUGAGAAAGGGACAGGAGGGGCCACACGGAGGACGGGAGCUGUUUGCUGCCUUUCCCCGGAGGUGGGCGGGCUGCCUCAGCAAGCACAGACCUUCCAGCUCAGACGCUCAGACCUGCCCUCUCCCAGAGCCCCGGGCAGGGGCAGAAUCCACGUGCCCAGAGAAUGCCAGCCCAACAGAGUGUGUUUCCCAUUUAAAAUAAAUGUCUUUGGG
This is an RNA transcript of Hippopotamus amphibius kiboko, 1387 nucleotides long. RefSeq lists it as uncharacterized. The transcript has 2 exons. The record is from RefSeq and is a predicted model, not a curated record. NCBI's taxonomy places the organism in Eukaryota, Metazoa, Chordata, Mammalia, Artiodactyla, Hippopotamidae.